This 1512-nucleotide ribosomal RNA is filed under the name Triticum aestivum (bread wheat). RNAcentral's name for it is "partial small subunit ribosomal RNA". The record is from RNAcentral. Lineage: Eukaryota; Viridiplantae; Streptophyta; Magnoliopsida; Poales; Poaceae.
AUGGAGAGGAUGGCUCACUCCUACUUUAAGGAGAUUUUUACUAAGGACCCGACUCUAGCUCCGGAUGAGGUCCUUGAUUGCAUCGCACCUAGAGUCACAGCCGAGAUGAAUGAUUCUUUGUGCAAACCAUACACUGAGGAGGAAAUUUCUAAUGCCCUAUUUCAGAUUGGCCCCUUGAAGGCCCCUGGUAGUGACGGUUGUCCUGCCCGGUUUUAUCAAUGUAACUGGACAGUGCUUAAAGCAGAGAUUAUUACUGCAGUUCAGGAAUUUUUUGUCACAAGGACUAUGCCGGAUGAUGUUAAUGAUACGGUGAUAGUUUUGAUUCCAAAAGUUCCACAUCCAAAGGAACUAAAGGAUUUUCGUCCAAUAAGCUUGUGUAAUGUGGUGUAUAAAAUUGUGUCCAAGUGUAUGGUGAACAGGCUACGGCCCCUCCUCAAUGUGCUUAUCUCCGACAAUCAGAGUGCCUUCAUCCCAGGGAGGCUUAUCCCUGAUAAUUCUAUUAUAGCUUUCGAGUGUAUUCACCAUAUUCAAUCUUUGAAGGAUAAUUCUCCGGCUUUGUGUGCUUAUAAGCUUGACUUAUCUAAAGCCUACGAUUGUGUUGAUUGGGUUUUCUUGGAGAGGGCACUAUCAAAGUGGGGCUUCUCUCAGCAAUGGAUUUCUCGAGUGAUGGCAUGUGUCUCAUCUGUCAAAUACUCGGUGAAGUUUAAUGGCAAAUUGUUGGAGUUUUUCGCCCCGUCUAGAGGGCUUCGGCAAGGUGACCCGUUAUCCCCCUUUCUCUUUCUGUUUGUAGCUGAUGCUCUUUCAUCUUUGAUCAACAAGGCUAUGCGGGAAGAGGGCCUGCAAGGGGUUAAAAUCUGCAGAGGUGCUCCUGAGAUUUCUCACCUCCUUUUUGCGGAUGAUUCACUUUUAUUCUUCCAAGCUUCAGAACAGCAAGCGGUCUUGCUUAAAGGUUUGUUGAACACUUAUGCGACGGCGACUGCACAACUAAUUAACCCGUCGAAGUGCUCCAUCCUUUUCUCAGAUCAGUAUGCACCAAAUGUUAUCCAGGAGGUUAAAAGUGUAUUGGGUAUUACACAGGAAGUGUUUGAACCUAAAUAUCUGGGUCUCCCGGUUCCUGAAGGUAGGAUGCAUAAAGGAAAUUUUGAAACAGUUCAGGAACGUUUGAGGAAGCAUCUCAUUGAUUGGAGUGAGCAGUAUAUGUCGUCAGGUAAUAAGGAGAUUCUAAUUAAAUCGGUUGCCCAGGCUAUCCCUUCUUAUGUUAUGAGUGUGUUUAGGCUCCCUGCUUCUGUUUGCAAUGAGCUAACACGGUUGAUGAGGCAAUAUUGGUGGGGUGUCGAGAAUGGGAAGAAGAAGAUGGCCUGGAUCGAGCUGGGACAUAAUGAUGCUACCAAAGCCUAUGGGAGGCAUGGGUUUCAGGGACAUGCGAGCUUUCAACCAGGCCUUGUUGGCCAAACAAGCCUGGCGCUUGCUGGACUCGCCAGGAAGUUUAUGUGCUCGAUUACUGAAGGCUAA